Molecule: long non-coding RNA, 368 nt
Filed under: Monodelphis domestica (gray short-tailed opossum)
Lineage: Eukaryota; Metazoa; Chordata; Mammalia; Didelphimorphia; Didelphidae
Description: lncRNA (ENSMODG00000044621.1)
Source: RNAcentral
GAAGGAAGGAAGGAAGGAAGGAAGAAAGAAAGAAAGAAAGAAAGAAAGAAAGAAAGAAAGAAAGAAAGAAAGAAAGAAAGAAAGAAAGAAAGAAAGAAAGAAAGAAAGAAAGAGGAAGGGAGGGAAGGAAGGAAGGAGGGAGGGAGGGAGGGAGGGAGGGAAAGAAGGAAGGAAGGAAGGAGGGAGGGAAAGAAGUAGGGAAAGAAGGAAGAAGGAAAAAGAAAAGAAACCCCGCCUCUCUUGGAAACCACAGGCUGAUAGGAGAGGCAACAUGCAAGCCACUAUGGAGAGAAAAGGUACAAUCUAUACAAGUUAAAUUUCUGCUGGUCUCAUAGGCACUGAAAGCACUCAGAUUAAGGAGACCUGGG